CUACGGGUCGCUCCAGUGGGGAAUAUUGGGCAAUGGGCGCAAGCCUGACCCAGCAACGCCGCGUGAGGGAAGAAGGUUUUCGGAUUGUAAACCUCUGUCCUUGGGGACGAAGAAGUGACGGUACCCAAGGAGGAAGCUCCGGCUAACUGCGUGCCAGCAGCCGCGGUAAUACGUAGGGAGCGAGCGUUGUCCGGAAUUACUGGGCGUAAAGGGUGCGUAGGCGGCAUAUUAAGUCAGGUGUGAAAUACCCGGGCUCAACCCGGGGGGUGCAUUUGAAACUGAUAAGCUUGAGUGUGAGAGAGGAAAGUGGAAUUCCUAGUGUAGCGGUGAAAUGCGUAGAGAUUAGGAGGAACACCAGUGGCGAAGGCGACUUUCUGGCUCAUAACUGACGCUGAGGCACGAAAGCGUGGGGAGCAAACAGGAUUAGAUACCCGGGUAGUC
RNAcentral lists this ribosomal RNA (441 nucleotides) under uncultured bacterium. RNAcentral describes it as "partial 16S ribosomal RNA". It matches the Rfam family "Bacterial small subunit ribosomal RNA", at positions 339 to 795 of the family's 1533-position model. The record is from RNAcentral.